Molecule: non-coding RNA, 28455 nt
Organism: Equus caballus (horse)
Lineage: Eukaryota; Metazoa; Chordata; Mammalia; Perissodactyla; Equidae
Source: RefSeq, a predicted model, not a curated record
AAAUAUUUAUGCCCCGAUUCUUGUAUUUUUACAUCUUUGUGGCUGAGAGAGACAUUGAGACAUAAAGCGAGUCUCGAGAGGGAAAUAUUUUUGUGAGGGGAUCAUCUGUGCUGUCACUCGCCUGCAAACCUGUGUUCUCAGGGCUUUGUGUUAUUAGGAUCGUCGGAGGCGAGGUGUGAGCGGGCUGGGUGGAAGGGUGAGCUGCUUUUUAUGUCUGUCUGGUGACAUUUAUCAUGCUGUUUAAAUUCAUAUCGGGGAAAAAUUCUGUUUGAUGAUAGUUAGCAAUGUUUUGUGCAAAGUAGAGCAUAUGGCCAUGUAGAAUUUAAGCGAUGCUCUUUCAUUCUUAAUUUGUAAUUAUUUUUACACUCAACUGUACUGAGGUCAGAGAGUUUUAAAAAUUAAUGAGAUUCCCUGUGGAGUUCAAAUAGUAAUGUCUACGUGAGCUGCCACAAAAAGAUAAGAUUAUGCUGGCAUAUUUUUAACAUAGAUUUAACUUUCUUAUCUUGAACAUACUCCAUUUGAAAUAUAUGAAUUGUGCAAUAGUUUAUGGAAGCCUAAGUAUUUUGGGAUAUUAGUCCUUAAAAAAUUUUUUUUGGUGACCUAGAGAAAUGUUGUCAAAAUUAGACUGUAGAAGAUUAAUAUUUUCUGUGGAGAUAUUGCUAAAACUUAAUAGACAUUAUUGUUAUGGUAAUGGAGAAUACCGUAUACUUUCGAGGAAAUGACAAAUAAUGAAUGAGCCACAUGCUAAAAAAAUCUGCAAACGUGCUUUCAUCUUAAGUAAUAUAUAAAAAUUCAGGAGACAUUUAGGGUGAAAAAUUUCUGGCAUGAACAAAGAAGCAAGUGAACACAUAGAUGAGAAUUCUUUGUCACAAAAAUGAAGCCAGUGCAUGGAUUCAGGGGGUUAAGCGAUUCCUACAUUCUCAGCACCCCACAAAAGGGGUGAGUCCAGACACUUAAAAAUGUACCAAAAACUUUCAUUUCCCACAAUUUAAAAACAUUGUUUAUGUUCCUGGUACAGCACAUUGUUUAAAUGAGGGAGACUGAAAAGCAGCUUGAGUAUACAGUAAUCGGGGCUAAAGAUGCUUUUUAUCCCGAGCUUCCCAUUUACAAGACCCAUUCUGAGCUUCCUGUGAUAUAUUGUUAUGUAAAUACUGUGCAGCCAGGGAAAGCCGUACUAUGGGGAUUCAAUUUACUUUGAAAGUUGUUCAUUAUAGGAGGGAUGAAUGUUAUUUAUUUGAUGUGAUUCAAAGGCUGGAAAUGACUUUUUCAUUGUGGCGCCUUUUGUAAUGGGUGCAGGGUGAUCUAAUCUUUUUAAUUUUGGCUUUCACACCAGUGGAGAUGAAAAGAGAUCUGAACUCAUUUAUCGGUUGCUAGGUCCUUCCGGAGACCCAAGUCCUGUUCUUGGUUGCUAUGGCCAGUCUGACCUCAAUCUCUGUGGUUUUGGGGACUUAAGCAGUCUUUUUUUUUUUUUUUAUUGAGGAACGUGUACCUUGAUUUAUGUCCAAAAUUGUGGCUGAAUGUCUUUGUCUGCAUGUGAUAAAUGGUGCCGAACAAUUCAUCAGUUCUUACAAGUAAACACCGCUGUCCCACUAAAAAUAUGUUUUGUUCUGAGUUAAUGGUAUGGAACAAGGCAGCCUCCACAAACAGCUAUCUUUUAUUGUGGAGGGGCCUCUGAAACUUGGAGCAAAGUGGAGGAAAUUGGCAUUCAUUUUCUUGUGCAUUAGCAUUUCAUUUGUGAUUUGGAUGAUGCGGCUUUAGGUGGAUUGUGGAAGAGAGGGUAAACCUUCCAUUUCCUUACUUUUUCUUAGUUGGGUCUGCCUAGAAAACAGGCCCCCUUUGGAUGCCUGGAUGCUGCUGGGGCGCUGAGAAGUCAGGAGUAGUUUCCCUGAUGGGCUUGGCCUCCGAUUCGCGACUGCCAAGUGCUGAGGCAGAAACAGGCAGACGUUCUGCAGCUCUGUUGCCUUCAGUCUGGUGCUGGUUCUUUGAGCGAAAGUUGUAUCUAAUAUUGGUGACUCCCAGGAAGGUUCUGCUUGUGUGCUACUUAAUGGGCCCCGGACAUCCUUGCCUUCUAGAACCUUGUUAGAAAGGAGCCGUGGUACUUAAGAGGCCGUGGAGUAUACAGCUGUGCUUAGCAGAGGAGCCCGCAUGCGUCUCCCCGUUCCCUUAAAAACUGCCUAAUUGAUGCUGCAGGGAGCAUCCACUCUGCAAAUAAGAUGAUGAUGACAAAAUAGGUAUCAGGAAAGGCAUUUAUUGCUUAUAAGCACCAUCAGCUUCCUUCCGAGACAGAUUGCGGCUUUGUAGUGUAUUUUUUUCCGUUCGAUAGUAAUAUGCUAAUGGUUUUUAUUCCAAAUCAGCCAGCACUGAGUAUCUUCAGGAAAAACGGUUUCCGUCAGAAGUGGCAUCCUCCUCAAAAUGAAAGCCUCUAUUCUCUGCAAGAUCUUCCCAUCUAUUCCAACUGUGUCAAACUAUGGCAUAAACAGAAGAAAACAACAAUAGACUGUACAUGUCACUCACGUUGGCUGAGAGAUCAGCUGAGAAAGCAAGAAUUGGAAGAUGGAGGAAUAGAUGUACCAUCAUUUGAAAAAGUACUCUUCUCUUUCAAGCUGUAUAUAACUUAUCCAUUGUAAACUAAGACUAUUAAUAGUAAUAAUUAUAACAACACUUUAUUUUUGUCUAAUGCCAUAUAACUUACAAAGUCUUCCUCAAGUUUUCAUUUAUUUCUUUUUUGUCAGUCCCAUCAAUUAGUCAGGAUACAGCUUAUUAUUUUCUCCUUAUUUUCCACCUCUGCAGUUACUUCCUACUGCUGUUUCCAAACUUGGUGCAUUAGAGUUGAAGUAGAACUCCCAGCCCUGAACAAGAUCCGAAAGUCAUUAUGUUUGGGCAACGUGUUUGGUGAUAUGUUACAAUGUGGACAUUUCUGCUGUGGUUAACAUCCUGUAAAAGAGAAUACAAAUCACUAAAAAGCUCAGGUCAGAUAAUUCAGAAUUAAGGAGGUGAUGUUACUUUUUUGAAAUAGAGACAUGAGACAGUAUUAAAAAUGGACAGCGUGGACUAAUUCCUAAAAUUUAUUCUCAGUUAUAUCAUAGAGUCAUGUGGAUUCCAUCCAUUUCUCUAGUAAAUUAGCCACUGAUAAUCAUAAUUAUGACCCUUAGGUGUAGUAAGACAAUGAAAUGCCUCCUGAAUUAUUAAGAAGUGUUAAUUUAUGUCUACCCUGUACGUAGUUUCAAGUAUUUUACUGCAUUAUCAUUCCUUGAAAAUUGGUCACCAGUACAUAUGAUAUAUACAUAAGAUUAAAUUUUAGUCAUGGUAAUAUAUUUUUAGAAGAAGCCUUAUUCCUAGUGUUGAAUAAACAUGAUUAUAUUUUAUAUGAAUUUUCCCCCAGAUUUCUGUUUAAGGUCCACAGUCUUGACCUAUUUGAUCAUUAGCCAUAGGUCAUUUUUUGAGAAAAAUAAUGCCAAGAAUUUGUACGAUGCUUUAUUAUGAACCAAUACUUUCAUUGUCAUAAACAUUGUUCAAUUUAUUGUAUAAGCGCUCAAAAGGUAUUGUUACCAGUAUUUUAUAAAAUAAGCCCCAGGGAGCAUAAGUGGUUUGUACAAAGCCACAUGGUUAAUAAGUAGUAGAGAAGAAACCCCAUUCCAUCGGACCAAGUCAAGAACUUUUUCCAUCAAGCCACAGCCACCUCAGAAACUCAUCUCCCAGAAUUUGUGUCAGGAGCUUUCAGCCGACCAUGGGCCUCUCCACUUGUAAACCCAUCUGGUGAAGUUUCUUUCUAAGGCUCAUCAGAGGAGCUAAGAAAAACCAACACAUCAGAGACUCAGAAAAUUUGUUGUAAUCCUGAUUAUCAGUGAAAAGGAAUAAUGUCCCCAAUAUUAGAUCACGCUCCAUCCACCUGGAGAGGUGCAUUGAAUGCAUCAUUUUGUAGAGAGACCACUUUAUUUAUCCUACAAUAUGACCAAGACUGUGAUAGAAUGGGACCCUUUGUAAUAGCUUUUUACCAUAAAUGAGCAUAGCAAGCUUUGAAAGGAAAUAUAGGUGUGGGCAUUCUCCAUUUGCUUUGGAUACAAAACAGGUUUUCUGCCUUUGAUGAAAAGAAUAAGCUGUGCCCAUUCUAAGGAGAAAGUGUGAAAUAGGAGAGCUCUGAAUGCAAGGUUUUAUCAUCACCUCUUGCUUUUUUUUCUUUUCAUUCUAAUCAGAAACCUGUUUUUAAACAAGCUGCCCUGAUAUUAAUAAGUGACAUGGAAAAGUGACUGCCUUGAACAUGCUCCUAUGAAAAGUGGCGUAAGAAGGUGAGGGAUGCCUGAGGAAGAAGGGCCUUCACCAUUAAUAAUUAUCUGCGAGGAACAGGCAGUGCCUGGGAGGUAGGCUGGAUUCACAGAAACAGAAAUCUAAAACAUUUGGGCAGGCUUCUGCUUUUUCAUGAGAGGUUGCUGCUGCUGAAUGCAAAUUCCCAACUGGAAUAAAGCUGAUAACAAAGCCAUCUUGUGCUCAUCCAUUCCGGAAUACUAAACAGAAAUGUCUCCUGUAUUUAUUAAGCCACUUAUAAUUAUUUCUGACGUGUCAAAUAUACUGGGGAUAGAGAAGAUUGGGGGGACCAUUUUUUAUGUGAUGUCAGGCAUCAAAGAAUUGAAAGAGUGGCCCCAGAAAUGAUCAUUCUUUAAGUAUGACGCUGCCACUUAAUAAGCCAACAGAGAAAAUAUUGAAAGGAAUUCCGUCAACAUUCUGGGACUAGUGUAAUUUUGAACAAUCAGGCGUAAUGGCAAGAUCAGGCUUGAUGUCACGCUGUACACCCUGUAAUUCUGGGAAAUUAUAAAACUUGUGAACAAAAGGGAACGAGGAAUAUGCAAUGGUAGAAUGGAAAGAAGGAUGUGGGGAGCUUGAGAUUCCAGGUCUGUCCCCUCUGACCUCACUGAUAUGCAAAUUGUUUUAUUAUGUCAAAAUAGCAGAGGUGAAACUGUCAAGGUUUCCUAAGAAAAAAGUUUCACAGUUUCACCACAGAAAAAGAUGAGUUUUGCAUUUGGAAUGUCUGAGGGCAUCUGAAGUGUUGUCUCAUUAAAAUUUAUGAUCAGAAUUAAUUCACGUUCAUUUCAUUAAGAACUAAAUCACCUAGGUUGAAUUUGUGUGGGGAACCAUAAAAAAAGGAUAAUGAGAAAUGGCAGCAGGUCUGUGGAGUGGCCAGUGAGGACCACUCGUAGAUCUGAUCUUUUUCUUUUUUAAACUUUCCAUUUCGUGUUUGGGGAUUAUUUGGUGUUUGGAAAUCAAGGUCUUUUGUUGGCAUUUGUAUAUGAUAUGAAAUACAUAGAAUACUUUUUAAAAUCACUCGAGUUAAAGGAUUUAAAUGACCUUACAUGAGACCCAUACAUGUGGCAAUAAGAAAAAAAUGAGACUGCCGCAAGAAAAUAAGAAUUUUGUUUGUCGAGGAUAAUUUUGUGCCUGGCACCGUGCUUAAUUGACUUAAUGAUGCUCACAGAUAGAAAGCCUGAGUGUCAGAUAACUUUCCCACAAAGUUGCUGAAAUGGUCCAUUUCCUUUGCUACAGACGGCUCAUCAUCUCAAGUAACAAACCAGAUUAUCCCAAUAACAAACCAGCUCCUGAUAGGCCCUCUUCACUACAUCCUCUUGGAUGCAGAAUGCCAAGGCUGCAUCUCCUCCUCAUGCCUCUAUGUCUGUGUAGAUAAUUCCCUGUUGAGGAUGCUGACAUCUCUUGCCAGUAGACGUUGUUGUGUGUUUCCUGGCCUGUCCAUUUUCCUUCUAAUAAUUGGAUUCUAUUAGAAAAUUUAUUUCUUCUCUAACACUUCAACCGCCUUCUACCUCCAUGAGUUCUAAUCCUAGAACUGCCCCUCACUCGAUGAUAUUCUAGGCAGAUGACUAUUUCUGGGACACGCCAUGCUCAUCUGGAGAACCGGAGGCUGGUUAUUGCUAAAAUCUCAUCUCAGAGUGAAAGUCUGCUGGUCUGUGAGUUUAUGAGUUCGUGCCUUCUGAGCAUUGAAGGUGGUGAGCUUUCCCAAGCGCAGUUGUAGGAUUAGAAUUGCGACCUCGUGUGCUUCGUCUUACCGCUCCAUUUUCUGUCUACUCUCUUGAUUCCAGAUGAGACUACACACUGACCCCUUUAUUCAAAAGUGUAAUUCCUGACUAGGGUCCAACUGUAUACAAUACUUCCUUCCCCUCAGGAUUGCCAAAGAAUGUGCCAUCUCUGAGGCACUGGGAAAUGUGGCAAGGUUUCCCUCCUCAUUGCCAGCCCCUUGGGGACCAGCACGUGGGUCUCAAGUCCCACAGCACCUGGACCAUAAAAAGGCAGUUCAGCGCAUCCUGGGAAUAUAUGGGCAAAAUUGUGAGCUUUACCUAGAAUAGCUUCUCCUUGAUUCUCUUGCUGGGCCUCCGGGCUUCUUGCUCUUUCUCUGGUGACCGUGUCCAUUUUAGAGCUGCAAGGGAAAAAGGUUUCAAUCUGUUCCUUUUUCUUUGUGUAACACUUACUGAAUAGCUCAGUGCAAUUGGGCAUUCAGCGAGUCAUUUUCCUCUAGUCCUUGCAUUACUCGCUCUUUGCAAUGGAAAUUUCUAUUUCAGGUUCCUUAGUAGCCAUUUCUAAGUCAACCAUGUGGCCUCAAAGAGUUGGGACUUAAGCAUAAGCCUAGGCUUUUAGAAUAUAGAGAGGAGAAGGGAGCAAAGGAAGGAAGAGACAGGCUGAAUGUAUGGACAAUUUUACUACUGCUGAACUGCACAGUUGUUAACGUUGCAUCCCUGCUGUCCAGGUCAAUUUCACUUCAGUAACUGUGCAUAAAUCUGGAUUAUGAUAUAAAAAACAAACAAUUAAGCAAGCAAUCCUUUUAUGUUAUUUCAAACGUUACCAUUUAGAAAAACCUGCUUCUGGCUCUUGGGGUGAGUGUCUGGCAGGAUUGUAAGUGGUGAUGACUUUUUAGGUAGUUUUGUUAUAUUCUGUGAUUUGCCUGUGCUCUUGGAAAGUAAAGGGGAAUGACGUUAUAUGUGGAGCUAUGUAACCAUGAAUUUUUAAAGCCAAAUUGUCCCUGAGCUGAAAGGAUUUCCUGUGACCCCCAAUUAGUUUUCCUAAAAUCUGUGUUAAUACUUUCACACCAAAAUGGCAAAAAUUUUGCUUGUUAGUGCUUGGCUGCGGCUGGAGGCUGGUCUGUACAAACUGAAGGCGGUAAUAACAGCAGCAUGUAUUUACCGGCUGCUUGCUACAUGCCGUGUACUGGGUUAAGCAAUUCACGUGCAUAAAUUUAUUGAAUCUUCACCCUAAGUGGCAGUACUAUUUUUACUCCCAUUUUAGAGACGAAGAAAAUAAGUCAUAGAAAAAACAACUUGCGCAACUUGCAAAAUGUAGCAUUAGGAUUUGACCUCAGGAGGCUCGAUUCCAUCAGGCUACAGAUAGGUACAUACUCUACUCAGGCGCCCUAUUUAGUCAUUUUUAUUCUUACAUUUCCUUUCUUAUUUGACAUUUUCCACAUUCAGUAAGCAUCUUCCAGAAUUUAAAUUUUAAUAGAGUAAAUGGUAUCCUGAAAUGAUGAUCAGUGAGAACCAAUUUUGCUUCUGAGUGCAUCUAACUUAUUCUGAAUGAAGGAGACGCUGGCUCAGUAUGGAGGAAAAUGCCUGUGAGGAAGAGGCAGAAAAAUAAGCCUAGGGGCCAGAACAGUUUACAGAGCAAAGUUUUAGUUCCAGGCUAUUAAUUUCAUGCAUAUAGGAGAGAAAGAGCCAAUGUAAAAUAAAAACCUUUUGAUAGAAAUCUCUACCCAUAAUGACGUUGGUUUGGUUACCAAGGCUGGGCAAGGAGAAGAGAAGCAACGUAACAGGAUAGACUCUGGAGCCUGAUGGCCUAGCUCUUCCACUUCCUACUCUGAGAUCUGGGGCAAGUUCCUUGCUGGCUCUGUGACUCUGUUUCCCUAUCUGUAAAAGAAAGCUAAUAGUACUUACCUUAUAGGGUUGUCAUGGAGAUUAAAUGAAUUCAUGUAUGUAAAGCAUUUAGAACAGUGCCUGGCACAUAGUCGGUCAUGCCACAAGAGUGUUUGCUAUAUCAUCAUCAUCAUCGUUAUGAUCAUCAUCAUGAGGUGCUCAAACGUUGCGUGGCAAAGAUGUUGACAGUGGUUUUAUAUUUAGAUGUUCUUAGGGCUUUCAUAUAGGAAGAGAAGAUACUAGAUUUGAUUUAUUUUAGACAGACUUUGCUAAAUAAAGCAAUUCUUAGAUCACCUAGAUUUAUUUUGGUUUUAGAAUUCGAGUGGUCAUUUAUAAAUUAAUCAACUAAUGUGUUGCCAUGGCUCAGUCUGAAGGUGGAAUUUUGCUCCCAGCGAAAGGAGGAUUUAGCAUGCAAGUUGCACAAUUAUCCAACAGAGAGAUGGACCACUAUCUUGAAAAAUCUGAAGAAGGGAGUAGCAAAAAUGGGAGAUAGUCCUGCUUGAAAAGUCCAAGUGAUUAGGAAAGCUGGGGUUUGGAGUUUGACGCAGCAAAUUUAUUUUGGGGUGAUAAUAGUAGAGGUAAGGUAUAGCUUGUAGAUCAGUCUGAUAGAUUCCCAGACAGUUACAUCUUCACUCCUGCUUUCUUCAAAGAGUUGGGAUGGAAUACUCUGUGCCACUCUUUGAGGGCAUCCAUGGGGGUGAGAGAGGCUUUAUUCCUUCAAGGCAAUUUGGUCCAACUCUGCCAGCUCACUGGUAGGGGAAGCCUGGCAAAAUUCCAAAGGUUAUUAGUGUCGUAUCUAUUAUUUCACAGGGUGGAGUGUGUUUGGGUGGAUGGAGGAGGAAGCCUAUAAUUUCAUAGCUGUUAGUAGAACAUUUCUGCUAAAGCUCCUUUUAUUCUAGAAAUUGGUGAAAGGAUCUCAACAUUCAAGAUGAUUUGAGAGCAUUGUACUGUCCCCAGAAUAGAAUGCACCCACAGUUCUUGCUAAAUCUUGAUGGUGCAAGUUGGAAGAGUAUAAAUAUUUCCUCCAAAAUAUCUAUUACCAUCUCGACCCAUUUUUUGUGUGUGUGAGAUCUAAAUCAUCUUUUUAAUUAUUUUAACUCUGAAGAUUUUUUCCCCCAUAAAUAUAAAAUCAGAGCUGUAAGAUUAACCUAGAGCAGUUGAGAAAAAGUAUUGCACUUUAAAAUUGUGUCACCACUGUCUUGUUUAGGAAGAAAAUGACUUGAGUUAAACUAAAUGUUGAGUUAUCAACUGUUUCAGUUCCCGUAUUCAUCAUUGCCUGUAAAGUGUAAGCAUCCCACUUAUUUUUUUUAUACUUCUCUGAGUUGCAUUCUCAAUGACUACCAUAUAAAUAAAUUAGAACAACAAUCAUGCUGUGCUUUUUCGUCAUCAUGGGUCAUUUUCAUGAACUGCUUAGUAAUUUCAUUGCACUUGUGUAAUUAGGUGAAGAAGCUCCACCCCAGCAUCCAUGGGUCAGCUAUGUGGACUCUAGCUGCCAAAGGCGCUUCUCCUUCUGAACAGAGCGCUUUGCUCAGCCAGUGUAGACAUGGCCUGAUAAACAAUGGAACUUUCCUCUUGAGAGCUGGAGUUUGGAUUGAUCUAAUUCUUUAAUUCAAAACUGUGUACUGGUUUGAUGAAUGGUUCAAAUGCCUGCCUUUUAGUAAAAUGGGAGCUUAAAUGGACAAUAAUGUGAAGAAUAGCAUAAUUUAUAAUGAACUUGAAAGGCAGUAGCGCUCGCUGUUGUGCAAGCUAAUCCGGUACUAUGAAAUCAAAGUUUGAACAUGAGCUUAAAUAUCCGUGGCAGGGAGUUUGUUCUGGCAGGUUUCUAUCUGUCAGGUCUUAACACUAAACCUGUCAGAGUGCAACACGGCCAUGUCACUUUUGACCAAGAUGUCACAUAUAUUGUGGGAAACAACCUGCUUUGUGUUUUCUUCUCUAGGAUUUUACUGGGAAAAGCAAACGUAAAAGGAAUUUUUUUUAACGCUGCAUUUUUAUUUUGCAGAUUCUCAUGCUGAUGGAGUGAGUGACAGUGGGGUGCGAACUGUAGUUACUCGACUCAGCUCAGAAUGGCUGCGGGGAACGUAUUCAGACAUACCCAAGGAAGUCUGCCCAGGGUGAAACAAACACCGUUGAGGUUUAAAUCAGGAUGAAGUUGUGCUUAAUAGCCUCUGUUUAAUUCAUUCAGAAACCACGCGAUUUUUGUUGCUAUAUUUUAUUAGAGAGGAAGGAGAGGCUGUUUCUACAGGUGUCAUAGAAAAAUCAAUACUGAGCCAUGGAUUAUUGGAUCCCAUAGAACCAUGGAGAGUCGGCAGUGAAAUUCUUCCAAAGGCAGACGGUGUUCCUAGGUUUGGAAGUGUAAAUCCCAGGAGAAGUGAGCUGAAGAACAUUUUAUGCAUCACUCAUCCUAUUAUGAGCCCUGUGCUGUUCUCUCUCUCUACAAGACUGGCUGAAACAAUGACAAAAAUUGUUUAUAAUCUGUAUUCGGUGGAUCAUCUAGUUAGUACCCUGACUCUGAUUACUCACAAAGACAAGAUUCUAUAAGAAAAACUGUCUGUUAGAAGGCUGCUAUUGCGUUGUUAAUAAAAUAACAAGGAAAAUGAAACAUUCUGGAUGUCCCAUCUGACGAGUUGCAGUUAAAGAACAGAAACAGAGCAGUAAAACUGCAUGGCCACAUUUUCCCAGGGCCACCAACUGGGAGUUAAGCUGACUAACAUUUUGAAAGCCCGGCCCAUUUCAUUCACAGCAGGUGCGGCAGUGCUGAGGAUACAGGAGUAAACGGAAUAGACAUGAAUUCCUGCCUUCACAGAGCUUCCAUUCUAAUUGAUCAUAAACUCAACCCCAAACAAAUCCAGUAAAUCUGCUGCAAGAGAGAAAGAAAGAAGGAAUUCGCUUUUUUUAUUGCAGUUUCUAACUACAGUAAGUCAGGGCUCUAACGGAUUUUAUGCUUAUUGAACAUACUUGUUUUCUUAUGGUUGUUUUUGAUGAUGCCAAUUAAAAUGAUAUUGAUAAGUUGGAGUAUCUUGGGAAGACAAAACCACGAAUUUUCUGAAACCAGGUGUGUGGUAAAUGGAGUGCUAGGAGAAAUGGGUGAGCGAACGAGAUCACUUAUGUCCAGAAAAGAAAAGGGCUGCAGGAAGUGAUAGCUGACCUCAAGCACUGAAGGGGCUGAUUCAAAGGAAAACCAACAGACUGACUUUACAUCAUUCCAAAUAUAGGACUAGAACCAAAGUGUGGCAGUUUUUUAAAAAAUAGAUUUCAGCUCAAGACGGAGAAUUUUCUACAUAGAAGAGCUAUUCUGCAGACAAGAGGUUGUCAAGGGGCAAGAGGUCUCCAGCUUCCUGAUUGCUGAAGGUAACUCAGCAGGAGCUGGAAGAACAGGGCAGAGGUCCUCUCUGACAGGCAGACCAGCAUGUGCUUUGGGUUCUCCAACUCUCUAACACCAUUUUCGCUCUGUAGUUAACCACUGCAAUAAUUUAUAGCUCAAAAAAGCUCUCAGCCAACAUAUUUCCAAUGACAAUAUCCCUACCUGUUUCUGACCUUUAAGAUUUCUUACAAUUUUGCAAUUCUAAAAGUCUCUCUCUAUCUGGUAAAUUUUAUAGGAAAAGAGAAUGAAGCCUUUCUUAUUUAUCAGCCAUGUUUAAGAAAUGUUUUCUUGGUAUAUGGAUUUCACUUUUGUGUUUUAAAAUGGUGACCCCUUGGAGAUUUGCCUGUCUAAAUCCAUUUUCUUGUCAGGAUUGGAGAUGACAGGUUAUUCUAAUGCCCAAAUAUUAAUUUCCAUGGCAUAUCUAUAUAUUUCAUCGGCCAACCUUCUGUGAAUUUUCUAGAUUUCGAUUAGCUUGUCCUAAACUCCUGGCAAACUAAAUUUCUCUAACAGUCUUCAAUUCGUUGCAUUAAAUGCCUGUUCAGCCUUGGAAGAUAUAUUGAUUUUUUUUCUCAGCAAAGUGACAAAUACCAUUUUAUAGAGAUUGAUUACAUUUUAUGGAACACAGAGAGAGAGCAGAUCUUAGUGAGACAAGCUUGGAGCUUACAAAAAUGAAAAAAUCAUUUGAAUUAAUAAUGAAGUUAAUGAAUUCAUCUGUUGCUGAUCAAGUAGAAAUAUUUUGAGAAAAAAUGGAAAGUUCUGCAGCUGCACAAACACUGAAGAAUUAAGACCAAUUUCAAUACUUUCGAGGUGCUGGUUUUGUGAAACCUUUUAAAAAGUUAAUAGUAAUUAUGUUUAAACCUAAAGCUAUGACAUUAACCCCCAGCAUACCUGGGCAUGCAGUGUGAUAGUAAUUGUAUGGAAAGACAUUUUUCAGUUAAGUCAGGACAAAAGUAAAUCAUGAUCCAUGUCAACUAAAUUUGAAAUAUUAAGAAGUCUAUGGGGAGCAGUCUUUUUUCCUGAUAUGAUUAAUGUAGCCUAAAUUUAAAAUUGAACUGAAUUUCUUUUCCUUCUAAGCUUCUUACAAUUAGGCCGAAAUUGGAACAAAUAUUAAUAUGUUUUUAUUAUUCUGCCUUGCUGUCCAGUAGCUUUUACCUUAUUUAAAAGGUAUUUAAAAACAUACAAACAAAAACCCAUGCACACAUGUCAUAAGCUUAAUGUAUGUAAAGAGUACCUACUAUAUUAUUUGAAAGCAAAUAGAAAUAAGAAACAAAGAGUAUUUUCUGGUGUUGAAAUAAACUAUGGUGGUGUGGGGGAGGAAGACCUGGGAAACAUUGCUAAGGGAGAUUAUAGAAUUACUUUCUUUGAGAAACCUUUAAAACAAAGACACCAGUUCAUGUCUGUUUAAGGACCUUAUCAUCAUCUUCUAGCCCCAUCACCUAGCAUUGUACCCAACAAAGUAUCUAGCGUGUAGGAGGAGCUGAAUAGUAUCUGUUGAAUGCAUAAACAAGUUUUCCUAAGAGCGGAAAGAAAUAAAAAGCAUCAUCACAAACAAUGUUUGUUGAGCCAGUAGUAUGUGCCAUGGAACUUUACUGUUUUUACCUCUAAUGUUUGCAAAUCUUACAUGGCAAAAUGAAAUAUGUAUUUACAUGUUUGUUAUAGUUAUGAGGAAAAAUAAUUAUACCUGAGGAUUUGGGAAACACCAGAGAAAUUAUUCUGCAUAUUUUGUUGCCCACCCUUUGUUCUGAGAUUGUACCGCACAUAGUAACACUCUAUUAUUGAAAAAUUAUUUUCUAAUUGUUUCACUGGUAUAUGCUUGAUCUCUUCUAUAAGCUCCUUGUUGGUAAAUGAUUUUUGGUUCUUCCUAGAUGUUCUCUGUAUUAACCUGACUGUAGCUUUGGAUUCGAAGAGUUUCUAAAAGUCCUAAGUUAUUGAUCCAUACAGUCGAGGGGUGAAAUCUCCAAUUUUGACUUAUUUAUGCCUAAGUGAUGCAGAAACUAUUCCAACAAUAGUUGACUAUUUCCUUUGAUCAUAUAUCUAGAGAAAGUCUUUUAUAUUAUUUUUUAUUUUAUUGAACUUUCCCAUUUUACGUCUGGAAAGAGUAGUUUUGCUCAAGAACUUAGUCUUUGCUUAAGUAUUCUUGCAGUUUGUAAAACAUGAUUUUAAAAGUAAUUUAAAUAAAAUAACAGCUGUAGGACUUGCUAGCUGCUAUUGCUCUAUGAAACUCUGCAGUAGUUUUCUCCUUGUUAUUUCCUAUCCGAAUGGGCUUGGUAAAGCUGUUCCUUUCACUGUGACAUAUACAGCUAGCAAAGGAUACGUGUGUUCUAUUGGUGCUAUUUAAAUAUGUGAAAAUGGGACUUAAUUUACACCCAGACUACUUUGUAUUUUACUUUUCCUCUCACAUUUCUUUGAAUUGAAGUGAAGUAAGAAUGCAGAUUAAAACCAAAUGCUGAAAAAUUGAAAAGUGAAACAUGGGAAAUACAUCAAUCUACCUAAUUAUGGAGAAUUUCAUGAUGAAGUUAUAUUUUUUUCAUACUGUUUUGAGUUAAAAGAAACUUCUGAACUUUAAAAAAAUGCAUGUUACUUUUAUGUUAAUUUUUUAAAACUGCUGUAUUGGUAUAGAAAAAAAUCUCAUCUUUUACAUAGAAUAAAGUUAGUGAUUUAAAUGGCAUCUGUUAGAUGUCAUUUUGAGAACAAAUUGCUAUUAAACUUAACUGUAAAAUAUGUGUUCAUAUUCAGCAUUCCCAUAUAUGAUAAGUUACAAUAUUUUAUGAGAACCAAUUACCAAAGGUAUUAAAUUCGAGAAUAAGUGAAGGUGGUCUUAUGGAAGUUAUCUAAUGAAUAAUCAAGCGCAAAAUUACAUAAUUUAGCCUAUAAACUCUAAUAUUACAUGUAUGUAUUUAUUUCGGGCUCUUUAAAAAUCUAAUUAUAAACUUUCCUCCAUCAGGUGGAAAGAUUGAUAGGUUAAUUAAAAUGGAAAGGUUUUAGUAAAGUGGAAGUCAGCGUGUACAUCGGUAAAUUUUCUGAAUGAGUUUUAAAGCCUGCAAUUCCAUUAAAUUUUGAGAAUUAAUUAAUUAAAAUGAAAGGAAGCCAGUUUCCCCUCCACACUAUCUUCAAAAGUGACACUUUUUUCUGAAGUUAUUUCAAGUCUUUAGCAAGCUUUUAAAAGAUUUUGCAAACACUAUGUAAGUUGUUUUAGCUACUUCAAAGUUAAAAUUUUGUUUUUUUUUAAGUUACAGAAAAGUUUUUGCUCAUUGAUACAGAAGUGUGUAAAUUAAAAAGUGAAAGUGCUGCCCUUUACUUCUUGUCCCAUGCUUCAGUCCUGUCACUGUCAACUGAGCUUUUUCUAUAAGCAAAGAAACAUAUACAUAAAUACACAUUGCUUUUUUCAUUAAAAACUGGAUUAUUUUAUGAAUAUUUUUCUACAAUUUGUUUUUAAAUUAUUUAUCUUGAACAUUAUUGCACAAGAACAUGUAGAUUUUCAGAAUCUAUAAUUGCAUAGUUUCCUGUAGUAUGUAUGUACCUUGAUGUAACUGUUCCUUUCAUGUGCUUAUAAAUUGUCCCCACUUUUUUCUGUAAAUUAAUAAUUAUAUGGGCAUCUGUGUGUGUGUGUGCAUGUGUGUACAUGUGCAUGUGUGUACAUAUGCAUGAGCUUCAUCUAUCGUGCACAUGUGUGGUGACUUUCCUAAGCUAGACUACUAGAAACAUUUUUCUUUCAUUAAAGAAUAUGGGCAUUUAAAAUUUUGUCAGGUAUUACCAAUUGCCCCUUCGAUCAAUUUAAAUUCUUACAAAUAGAUAUUAAUAGCCCUCUUUUCCCAGUACCUUUGCCAGCACUGAAUACUAUUUAUUCUCUUAAUUUUUGACCAGUAUGAUAGUAUUUGUGGAUGAUUUUCUAAUUUCUCUAAGGAUUAACCAAGCUAAUGUUUAUUUAUCUGAAGGGUUAGAAUUGAAUGAGACCUUCUAAAAAUGGACAGUUAGAGUUAUCAGAAGUAGAGAACUUUAAAAAGUUGUUUUUAAGGUAAUAGUAAUGUCUUACUGAAAUAAGUUGAACUUCAAAGUCAUUCUUAAAAACAUUGGAAUAUUGAUAUGUAGGAAUUUCUGAUGAGAUCUUGGAUUGAGGGCUUCUGCUUUUGAGAGAAAUGAAAAUAUUAAUGUUUAUUUGGAGCAAAGCAUAGUUUCUGCUUGUCUCCCAAUCGUCCUCCUUCCCAAAGUCCUUCUGUUCACUUUUCCUUAAAUACUUUAAAGGUUCUCUGUUGCCUAAGAGAUUAAAAAUAAUACUAUAACGUGAGUUGCUUCAGAAAUCCAGUUUCUCAGUUCUCAUCCCCCAAGAUUCUGAUUCACAAUGUCUGGAGUGGGUUGGAUCAUCUGAGUUUUCAAUAGGAAUGCCAGGUGAUUCUCCAGACUACAUCUUGAGAAAGACUGGGGGAAAGCAGUUUAUGUAGUAGUAAAGACUCCUAGUAAUUACCUUUCUUACCUUUUUAACCUCACGCAUAAGUCUGUUCUCUAGCCAAAUGGAAUGACAUGCUCUCUCUCAAAUUGGAUUCCAGCUUCUUCUAUCUCUGUAUUUUUCCCUGGAAAACCAAUUCACUCCUCUCAACCUCUGUCUUCACCUUAUGCCUUGUGUCUUAAAUCAAAUCCCGUAUCUUAAAUGAAGACUUCUAUUUCUUCAUCCCACGAUGAUCCACUUCUACAGCAUUUAUCUACAUCAUACAUUUGGCACUUAUGGUUUAGUCCUGUUGCUUGUGGUUCAUGUGUAAUUCUUCUCUGUAUGCCUCACAGUGCCUUACACAUAAUCAACACUGUAAAAAAUGUAUUGGUUGGUUAAGUGAGUGAGUGAUACCGUAAUUAGACUGCUAGGAGGGAGCAAGUCAAAAACUGCACGUCAACCCCAUGAAGCCACUUGUUGAAAUUGUGUAAGUUGUUCUACUCCUGAGAGACUCAGUUGCUCUCACUUCAAAUUGGAUUGCUUAUUUUGAUGAAUAAAACAAAAGCUAAUGCUUACCAUUUAUUUGGGUCUAUUAAUUGCAUUUCAAAUCACCCUACGUGCAGUACUUGAGAAAGUUAAUUCAUACCAAAGAUAGAGUUUUAAAAUUUUAUUUGAAAUCUAAUGUUAUAACUCCAUACAAUUUUUUCCCAGGAGGUCUAUGUUGCUAAAGGCCCAGCUUGCUUAGCUUUCUAAAAGUAGUUUAGCUUUCCUUAAAGAAAAUUGUUUUUGUGUUCAGAAUAAUUUAUCAGUAGCUACAACAUAACAUUCUGAUGAGGUCUUUAGAAUAAAUGUAACAUUUGUCACAGGCUCAGCACCUUAAAUGCAUUUAAUUCCUCUGCUGUAUUCUUGCUGUUUAGAACCAAAUUAUGUAAUUUAGCAUAGCUAUGAGUAUAACCUGGCACUGUUCGUAAAAAUUGGGAUAUACUUCUUGCUACUAAAAAUGAUAAUUUCUUGAGCAUGGAACUAACAUAUAUUUACCAAUGUUAUUCAAGAUUGUCUCAAGAAAAGCACUGUUCAUUUGAGAAAAAUAUUUGAUCAUGAGGGAGGUAUCUUCCUAAUGCUGUUUCAUGACAUAGGAAAAUUUGCACUAUCUAUUUUUUCGCAAUUUUGAAAAACAAGCACUUGCUAAGUCACCUUGGAAAAAUGGAGAUGAUUUAUUAAUUUGUCAUUUUCCUGAACUGAAAACGUCUUAAUGAAUAAAAAUGAAUAUAUGUCCAUCAGAUAUGUAUCCCUUUCUCUUAACACUGGCAAUUUAAUGCCUUAGUGGAACGUCUUUGGCCAGGCUGGUCUCCUGUAGGUUUGACUGCGGAGGAGCAGGUGUAUGCUUCCAAAGUGUCUUUACAAGUGUCGCAGUGGGGCUUCCCUCCCACGCCUCCGCAGGAGACAGCUCAUCUGUUUAAUCCUUGUGUUUUAGUCAACCUUUCUUAUUAUGCAGACAGGGCUCGGAGGCUCAGCUGGAUUUUGACUCUCCGAAUGAAUUGAUGGGGUUCUUUGAUCUUAACACUGUAUUGCGUCUGUUUCAUCUCUCCCCUCCAUGCACAGUGUUCCAAACUCCAGUUCUAACUGGUGAUCUUAAAAUAAAUGGGUAAUUAUACAAACAAAUAAACAAAUAAGAAUUGCCAUUUAAAACCCAGCUACAAAUUUCACUUCAUUUUGGACUUUUCAAUUUUUUUGGCAUAGGAAACUUUCUUGAAACAGAUCCCCCAAACAAUUUAAUUAUGUUGCUCUGUAAGGGACUUGAUUUGAGAUGCGUGUAUGAGUGUGUAUGGAUGUUGUAGGAUCAGAUUUGCAUAGGAAAUAAGAACAACAGAUUUUUGCAAUUUAGUACAUUGUAUGAUAGCAUAAUAUCUUUUAACAGACCAUAUUACAGCAGAAGGUGUACAACCUACUUAGAAAGAUCCACUGUAGAACUAUAAAGAUUCUGCUGGGCAAUAUUCCUCUUUUUGAUGGUCGUGAGAGAGACUGAAUUGCAAAGAAAAUCAGGUAGAAUCAGAACUAAGCCAUAUGGAGAAAUCAGUCUGGGUCAUAGGAUGCUAAAAUAUCAUCAUUUCCCUUAAACAAAUCGUUAAAAUGAAAUGUGCAUGUUCUUGUGUGAGGUGGGAGUGGAGGGAUGUUGAGGGAAGAGCAUGCAUUGUUUUUAGCCACAUUAAAGCAAAUAAAGAUAUGAUUAAUUGAACCAGAAAAUAUCAAGUUUUUAUCAGAGUAACCUUUCAUAUUCUAAUCUGGUAUUUUGCAGACUUUUAUUAAUUCUUUUUAUUUUUAAUUCCCCAUAAAUCCUCAUUUAUCUUUAAAUAUACCACGAUCUUGUGAUGAUAAUGUAAUGUCAAAGCUGUCAGAAUAAUUUCAGCUGAGCAAAAAAACUGAUGUUUCUGAAGAGCCAGUGGCCCUUGAGAGAGUUACAAAAAGGUCUUUCUUUAGCAAGAAUAUUGUGAUAUGACCUUCUGGUCUAUUAAACAUAUCCUUAUCCCAACACGUAUACACUAAAUAUACUAAUAACUAUUAGUGAAUUGUCAGAAUAAACAUUUUCCAUAAAAUAUCUGGAAAUAAAAUAUAUAAAGGAUUUGAUGCCUAAUCAUAACUUUAAAAUAUUGCUGUUUUAAAAAUAUUCAGCUAACUUUCCUCCACUCAAAAGUAUCUCUCAAGCCCCCGCAUGGUACCCAACUCUGAACCAGGGAGAUUUUCUUCACUAUUUUUGUACUUUCCAUAUGGGAUCUGAGAAUAACUGUGCAGGAAGGAAAUAUAAAAGGUUAUCCAACCCUUCUUCAGGCAGAACUACUCUGAGACCCACUAAAACGGGUGUUACUCCCCUCUAACCUAUUUUUCUACCUUGCUACCAACUGGGAUUUGCUUUCUCUUUGAUUGUUUGUUUAUUUGUUAAUGUUUUAUUGGAAAGGAAAGAUCUAGCCACCAGCUGGGCAAAGAUAGGUGAUUUCUAUGUACUUCAUUUAGUUUUCCUGACUUUAUUUGCUUUAGUUUCUUCACUCACAUACCUGAUUGCUGUGUUCCUUCUGUAAAAUUGAAACAAAAAUGUCUACACUCUUAGUCUAUGAUGAUUCUGUGCUGCGUGAACUUCUGAAAGGUACGGUUUGGCCUGUCCCACAUGAAAUGGAUCAACAUAAGUCAAAAUUUCAUUUUAUUUCUAUGCUUUGAGGAUUUACAAAUCCUCAAAAGUUCCAGUUUACAUUCAAAUAAUGUCCGUUUGGUUCACUGAUGUAACUCCCAGGUCAAGGCAGCUUACCACAUUAGAAUUUGUUUAAAAGAUGCUAAAUUGCUACCUGCAUGUUUCUUUGUGUUUAUAUAUUCCGACACAUACUUAUUCUUAACCUGCCUGAUCAUUAUUUCCUAGCAUUAAUUGGAUAACUCACUUGUACUCCAUUAUUCUACCUAAGUGUGAAAGGUGAUUUUCUUACGUUAUCCUCCAAAGAAGGAAGGAGAGAAAACAUUUAUAUUGGGUGUGUUGGUGGAGAUGUGGUUUCUAACUAUUAACUGCCACUGAAAUGCCCUUGUACUGUCUGUUGGACUAUGCCUGUUGGUCUGUGACAGUCAUGAUGUGGCCUCAAUUCUUAUACAUCUCUUGUAUCCAUAAACUUCCAGGCAACCAGCCUCCCAGAAGUUGCCCUAGGCUGCAUUAUUUUCAAACUCGGAAGUUUGAAUGACCCGUUAGUGGGUCAUGAAGUCAACUUAGUAGAUCAUAACCAGCAUUAAAAAAAAAAAGCCUUUGUAGUUCAUGAGCGUGGUGAUUGGGUAUUCACGCUGUUAUGUAAGAUGUGCCUUCCCACAAUCCUUGUUAUGACAUCAGCACAUUACCCAUCUGACAUAAGGAAAAAAAGUAAGAGAAAAAAGAAUUAUCAGAGUGCAUUGCACAUAGAGUUAACGUAGAGAGGAAACUCUAGUUAUAUUUUGCUGCGCACUUGCGUUUUAUUUCAAGACUGAGAAAUUUAAGUGCCGUUCAGCAAGCGGUUGACUGAUUGUACCCGCCAGCUGGCUAAUAUCAUAAUUAACAAAGUUGCUACUACGUCUGCAAAGUUUAAUCGAAAAAUUUGCCAGUGAUAUGAUGGCAUUGUCACAAAGAUCACAAGGGACACCGAGUCGACUUUUGCUCAAGGUGGAACGGCAAAGCUAUGUAGGCAAGACGAGAAAUCGCGAACUUGUUCAGCCAAAGGUCAUGCUUCAUAUCACCCACCAGGGAGGAUCAUGUCUCAUGAAAACUUUCAAAUUUGAUUUUGAAAAUUAUUCAGAAAAAUUUAAGCCAUGCUAUCUCCCAGUGUAGGAAAGAGUAUGCUCUGGAGAGUCCUAUAAUUCAAAGAAAAUGGUCUGGGAUAACAUUUGAGUCCUCAUGCUACCAAAAUCCUCUUGGCCAGGUAUACAAAGCAUUUAACAUUGUGACAUUAAAAUGUUGGAAGAAUAAUUAAAAUAAAAAUCUAAUAAUAGGUUUUUAGAAAUCACUAAAUUACUAUGUUUGAUCCAGAGAGGAGAAAGAAAAGGCUGUUUUCAUUCUCCACAGCAUCUGAGGUGUGUUAACUGCUUCUGUUGCUAUAAAUACCAUUUUAAUUGUAUGUCAUUGUUCCUUAGAGUCAUUUCUAGAAAGUUAAUUCAGAUGAUGUUAAUGCCUAACUCUGAGUUUCUGCUUACAGAAGGACCAGGUAAAAGAGGAAUUUCAUAUAAUAAGCUAGCUUCAUUUCUUCCAGCUUCUUUAUUAUAGAGAUUUUUUUUAAUGAAAUUUGUUUUGAGUGUAGGUUGCAAUUUUUUUAAGAACAUAGAAGUUAGCCAAUUACCCUGUCUUAAAAAUAUUUUUUCAGGCACCUUCUUUUGAAGAUAAGCAAGGCUUAAAAACUGAUUCCUCCACAUGAGAUAUUCAAACCGAGGUCAUUUUGGAGGGUAUUUUAUGUCUCUCCUUUGGUUAGGAAUUGAACUCCUUUUGUUCCCAAACACUUUAGAGGGGCAGAGAAAGGGCCCCCCUUUCACACCCCUUUGUAUUGUUCUCCGCCUUGCUCUGUGCUUAAGAAAAUCAUGGACUCAGAGCACCGAGGAUUCACACACCAGACUUAAAUUCUUUUUGUGUACAGGCCUCAUCUUUACGUGUUCCUCCUCUCUCCACUUUUGAAUAGCUGCACCUAACUCCAUCUCAGUUUUUUAAAUGCUUUCCUUUUAGACCUCAACAGUGACCUCAUUCUGCAAGAAGUGCAGCCCAGACUCUGCUGUUUCUCCUUUGGGCUCAUUUUAAUGUCUCUUGAGCUCUAAGAUACCUUUGUUAGUAAGAGAGUUCUCGUUCAGGGUUGGAAGAAAGGUCUCCUCUGAAAGGGGCCUAAUGAGUAAAGCAGGCUCUCCUGCAGACAGAAGGGGCUCAGAGUGCGUCUACAAAAGACGGGUGAAGACAGAUACCUGGACCACGUGUGCUGGGACUGCCAACCAGCAUUUCCAUACUUACAGUCACCCCCUCCUGACAGAUGGGAAGGAUCAUUGCUGGGGAUACAGUUGGUAAACUGGCUAGAACAAAUGAUAGUCAAUUAAAGGUAAAAUAACAUUUUGUUGAAACCUGGCCAUAUUUGGUAUAUUCAGUUGAAAUAAACGACCUGCAGUAGUUUAUGUGCUGAACCUUUGUGGCCCAUCACUGAUUUCUUUUCAUUCUACGAAUUUGCCUCUGACAAUAAUAAAAUAGCUACACAUUUUCUCUUUUAAAGUUGGGUUUGAAGAAGGAUUCACUGAACUAACACAUUUGACCCUAAUGCAGCCCCACUUCAGAAGAAAGUUUCUCCUCUUGCUCUUCUGUGAACAUAAUUCAAAGAUAAUCCCAAUAGAAAAGCAAUUUGCGUCCAUUUAGGCUUCAAAAUGCAUGAGGCGGAGGUGAACCGUACAAUCCAAUGAAGGAGGCUGCUGUGAGUGUCUUCCUUCCUGAACUUCUUUCCUGACAGGAAAGAUAUCUGUCAACAACUCGUAGUCUGUAGAUCUAGAAGGUGGCUGCCGUGUAUGGAUUUUCAGCAAAUUUUUGGUGGUGUGACUUGAUCUAUGUGAGCAGUGAAAUUUGGUUCACUCACACGAGUCCAGAAAUGCUGUGUGAUUUGAGAACGACAGCGCUCCUGGGUCCUGUAACGCUCAUGGAGUGAGGUUCAGAGCACAUGGCUCUGAAACAAUAGGGACUAGGAUCAGCUAAGCCUAGAUUUGAGUCCCACACCAAUACCUCCUUGUUUUCCAAUGUAGGCAAGUUUUUUGGCUUCCCUGAGCCUCAUUCUCCUUGUGAGUAAUAAAGGAGGGAGAGAAUACCACAUUUACUUUAUUUAAGUUGGCUUGUGAAGAUUAAAUCAGAUAAUAUAUUUUCAUGGUACCAAAACAUAGUAAAUGGUCAACUAAUGGUCACUACUUCUGUUAUCAUUAUUAUUUUUACCAGUAAUAAUACUUUUAAGAUUAUUAUCAUCAUCAUUAUUAAUGCUAUUAACGAUUAUGUGAAAGGUUCAAAAUUUUUCCUUCUGAAGAACUUAGGUGGUGGAAAACUAAAAGAUGCACACGUUAGAUGCUUUUCUCUGCUAGUGCCACAGGUCCCGUCACAUGAAGAUGUGGAAAAGCUUAAGUUUUAAAUGGGAUCCCCUGGAGGCCUCUGUACUAUCACAAAGUUUCAGUAAAUACUUAUUUUCUGUGAAAUCUAAGAUGCUGCACAAGGUGAAAAUUUUUUAAAAUCCACCAAAUUUCUUUGCUUGUAUCUAAUUAAUGCCAAAUAUUUAGAGAAGAUAGAAAAAGUGUCACUUACAAGCUAGAUAUUUUUACCCUCACUGCCAAGAACUGAGAUGUCUAGUUAAUGAGCUGGCUUUUUCAUUUGACUUUUGGAUAUGUGAUAUUAUGAAAAACCAUUUUGGGAUCGGCUUCUUGUGUUACCAGUAGUGGUGGCCUUGUUGAUUACAGGGUGCAAUGUGAAAAUCCUGAAUCUCACGAUGUGUGGAAUUGAUCAGAAUGAAGGCUUUCUAUAGGAAAAGCCGUCUUGCUGGCUGAAAAGCCCUAGUGAGCUGCCAGCCAUCUUCCUGGACCCAGAACAUCACAGGAAAGCAUACUAUCAGGUCUCCAGGCCAUUAAAAAGUUUCAUUCUUGCUGCUAAACAAGAGAAGAGUAAAUAGGCUUGUUUUUGCCUCCAAAACACAUGGCUCCUCACAGACAGAAAAGUCAGAUGUUAAUUAAACCUUUGUGGGGUUAGAAAGGAUCAUGCCAUCCGGUAUUAAAAAGUCAGCUUUGACUUCUAAUUGCAUGCCAAAAAGAAGAGCUGCAAAUGUAUUUGCUAACAAAGGUUCUUAUUGCAUACAAGUCUUGUUUAAAGUAAAAAGAGAAAUCUUUUUUCUUCAUAUUUGGAAUCGCUCUAAUCACAAUGGAGCCUUCAUUAAAAUAAUAUCUUGAGUAUAUAUUUUUAUAUUUUAUUUAAUUUUCACCUAUUUUGUGGAUUUCCCUCUUUCAUGAAGCCAUCCCUCAAAGGAAAUGCUGACAAUUAACAUCCAUGCCCUGGUGUGUUUUCUGAUGUUUCAUUUUAAAUAUUCACACAUGGAUUAAGUGCAGCAUUGUUUACCUUUCACAAUGCUUGGCAUACAGUAGAGGCUAAAUAAAGUACAAUUAAAAGAAAAUAGCCUUCCUAGAAUUAUAGCGAUGUUUUCCUCAUUUUCAUUUCCAUUUUGUCAUUUUGCAGUGAAGCUGGUGCAAUUUCUCCUCAAGUGGGCGAGGUUUAGGAUUGUUCACAGUCGCAAGUGAGAGGACAAAAUAAGAGAGAUUUUCAUUUAUAAGACUGCCUUUCUCUUAUCUAUUGGUCUUGCCUCCCAGACUGUCUGUCUGUCUCUGGAAAGCAAAGUCAAUAAAAAUGAUUAGAGCUGGCAUCUCACAAAUGUACACCCUUAAACCAUGAAGCAGUAAUGCUGUGCAGGAAAUAUUUUUCUGACCUUUUCAAAUUGCAUCCAACUGUCUCGGGAAUUUCUCAGUGACUAGAGGUAAUAAGGUUCAAUCCGUUUUACUGGCUGGCUUCAAAUUUAGUUCCUCCGAAUCUCUUACUUAUCUAUUCUUUGCAUCUUGGUUCUGGCAUCCAUUCAGCACAGAAAUCCAUGCAUCUAAUCUUUUUUCCCCUUCUUAGGUUUUGCUAAAGGAUCACACUGUGGAAUCUAUGACCAUGACAACUCUGCUCUAUUGCCCCUUCAAAAACAAAAUACUAGCAUGGGAAGGUUAGUGGGCCUGUUGUCUUUUGAGAAGCCCUUGUUGAAUUUAAUUAGCUUGUAGAUUUCAUUUCCGUCUUACAUCUCAGUUUUUACUUAUGUGAUUUAUGCCUCAGUAAUCUUCAUUAUAUAAAACUUUUUCAAAUUAACUAUACCAUGAGCGGUCUCUGGAAUAUUAAAGAGGCAAAAAUAUGUGAAUUUCUUUUGUGUUAAAUUGAUUUUGGUUUUUUUUUCCGUGAGUCCAAGUGCAAUGGACACACUCUCUGGGUAAAGACGGGAGUCAACCAAGUGUGACGAGCUAAAAGGCAGCUGGGCGACCCCAUUCGGCACCAUGUUCCCUGAAGGAGAACAGAAAACAGAAGCUGGGGAUACAAUUCUUGACCUCACAAAAGUGUUGCAUGUCAGGAAGCCUUGACAAGGAGUUAAAAGCUUGUCUUACUUUUCAAAUUUAGAGCAUCUCCAUGCUGAAUGUGAUUCAGGGGGAGAUAUCAAUGUUUUCUCAUUUGUAGGACACACCAAAUUCAACACAGACUCUGUUUUGUUGCUCCCAUCCAUCGCCUUUGUACUGCCUUCUGCAGCGGUGAUUAGAAUCUUGGCUGGAAGUUCCUGUGGUCAGUGAAGCUUGGAGGCUCUUUCUGGAACCUCUCUGUUCAUGGGCAAACAGCCACCAGGAGGAGGAAAUCUUUUUGAAGUUGUCCUUCUAAGAGUCUGUGUUUGCUGGUAAAAUAAUUGUCAAGUUUGAUCAUCAUAAGAUACUUGGCUUUAUAAAAAUGAGAUCAGUUCAAACAACCCUAUUCAAAAAAUAGAUUUAGAGGGAAGAGGAUGAAGAGUAGACAUUUUUUUAUUCACAGCAAUGGAUUUUUUUCCUUAAAAGAAACUGAGUAUACUUAUGCCAAAGUUCAUCUUCAUAGUAUAGCUUAUCGUUCCCAUUUUAAAAAACAAAAAUAAUGGUGUUGAUGAAUGUUAAAAGGAAACGUACGAAGUAUGUGCAAGAAUAUGAAUUUUUUGAAGUUGUUAUUUUGUCAUUUGAAAUUUAGUUCAUCUUGACGGUAGAGUCACAGUCCUGAUGUUGUCCCUUACAACCUGGGUAUAAUUAGCUGGUAUUUCUUUUUAGUAGAGAAGAGGCAUUUUGGCAGUUUUGCACAAUCAAAUUUACUCAAUAUUUGCAAUGCAGCACAGUGUCUUUAUCACUAGCUGGGGAAGAGUGAAAACUUUCCUGGAAUAUUCCUUGAACACAGCUGCGGUUCACCAGACAGGCUGUUAAGGCAAAUUGGUGUAUGUCUGCGUACACGUGUGCAACCAUGUGUGAGGUGUACACGCUAACUUGAGUUGGGAUUGGAAGGCAACAACUCCAAAACCAAAUGGAUUGUAGUUUCUCCUUGGGGAUGUCAUCUCUCAGUAAAUUGGAAACUUGACUACACCUGUGCACCCUUUCAGACCAGGGAGUGGCUUAGCCAGCUGGCUCUGCUUAUUACACACUUAGUGCCUCCUCUUUCCCAUUUCUAAGAUACGGCAUCUUUUCUACCCUUCGAGACCUAGAGAUAAAACAAAAUCAAUGUUCAGCCCUUCCAUUGCAAGUAUAAAGUGAUUUGAAUCUGGUGGAAGAAAGGAAUGAGGCAGUGCGUUUGCAAUGGUUUAUUUUGUCUUGCUGGAUGUUCUUAGAGAUUGAGGGAUGGUUGGGGAACUAAUCAGGACCUUCCAGGUAGAGAGGCACAAGAGGAAUGAGAAGGCCAAUUAGCCAUGCUACCAAUACUAACAGUUGCUCCUUCUUGGAUAACUAGUAUUUACCAGGGGUAUCAUAGAUAACUCAUGCAACCUGACAAUCUUCUUAGGCACUUGAUAAGACAAGUACAAAUCCCACUGUCUUCUUCAACAGGACAGGCAAUCUUCUCUCCAUCAUCAGAGAGCUGCUUUCCCUAGAGCCACUUAUUUAAUUAUUUUGAAAGUUUAAUAAGGGCCAAGAGUUCUGGCUAGUGGCUUAUAUUAUCAUCACAGAAGGUAAUUUUUAUUACCUUCAAAUAAUAAUACAGGCAGCCAAGGGUGGUGAUUAUACGCCGUCCUCAGAACUCCCAGUCACACCUGUCCAGUUUGUCUCUGUUAAUGGGUUCCAGGGUGAAAGAAUGGAUUGAGGAUGGCAGAUGUCAAAGGUAUUUUUGUGGGUAACCCAGUAAAACCUAUUUCUAUAAAUAUAAUGUUUCUAAAUCAGGAUAGCUAGGAAAUUAAAUUCCUUCAAAUAGAUAACUAAGAUCUUUUUUCUCCUUCUAUUUGCCUCACAUGGCAAUGUUACAAAAAUAAACAUUCUCGAUUGCCAAAGCAGGCUUGUUAUUGUGGCCUUGGCUCAAUGGAGAUAUCGAUGCAUAAAGAUUCAAUUUCUCUCUGGUGGUGAUGCUUAAUAUACUUCAAUUUGUUUCUCGGUGAAGGGGCUUGGUUAUUUAUUCUGGGUAAACUGGCCUUCUUGUGUUGCCACAGUGUCCCUUAGUCUCUGAUGUCAAGGCCAGCAAGUUGGCGGGGCCUCAUUUGUUCCCAGGCAAAUCAGAAGACAGAAAAUUGAUUCAGAUCUAAGCAGAGUGGUAGCAUCUCAAAAGCUCUGUCACCAGCGUUCACCGCAAAUAUAUCUCUUCCUAGAGUGGGUGUUCUGAAACUUUGGUCUGCAUCUCACUUGUAAUAAAUAUCCUCCUUUUAAAAAUUUCAAACAGAACUACCCAGGAAAAGUAGCAUGACUUUAGAUAGAAAUAUGAUUUCAAGGUCCCUCUGUCUCUCUGAGAUCUCUUGAAUAUGCAUGUGAUCCCAGAACAGAGUUCUUCCACAAAAGCCUUUAUGUUUUUACACAAAGCUCCUUCGAUUCCCACUAUCACCUUUAUUGGAAAUAAACUCAAAAUAGUAUAAAUGAGAAUAAAUUGUUUGAAACUCUCUGUGCCACACAGUUCAUCUCCAGCACUUUGCUUUCCCUUACUGCUGAAGGAAAGGAAGUGACAGCAUCAGCUUUAAAUCUGUAGAUUGAGUGGUGGGCACCUGCCUGUGCUUCUGUGAUCUACUGGCAAUCUCCACUUAUUGUCAGGUUGCAGCAGUAUUUAUUUUCCCUUAAUUGGAAGCCCACUGAUACCCUGUGGAAUUUCCUCCCCUUGGCAGGGCAGUAUAUCCAUGUCGACAGAGAGCAUAGCCACCAUGGUCUAUUGUAAUAUUAUAGUUGGAAAUAUCAACCCUGGGAUCAAAAUUAAACCAACACCUAGGCUAAUGGAGUUUCUAGACUGUCUUUUGAUAUUAUUAGGAACUCACCAUUUUUCUCAGUGUUUAUCUUUGGAGUUACAGCAAUGUCAGCAGAAAUUCAAAUUGAAUACGCUUUAUCAGAGCGUUUCCCCUACUGUUUCAAUUCUUCACUGCUUUGCUUUGAGAAGUGAGGGGUGACUGAUAAAGUUACUGACUAUUACACAUAAUGAACACAAGAGAUUGGGCACUCUGUAUAGAAAGGUUACUGUUUUAUUAUAUCUUUUUCCUUUUUAGGUAAAUAAAUAUAAUAAGAUCAACUGUGUGAACACGCCUGGAAAGACAAUUUUAUUAGAAUUCAGUUAAUUAAAAUGAAAUUAACAAGUAAAUCCCCUUUCUCUUAACUUUCAGUGUCAAAACAGGAUUCGUUACUUUGGACAUCAGAGGGCCUCUUCAUGGUCUUUAUUUAUGGCUACAGCAUUUGCAUGUGCUUCUCCUUUGUGCUAUUUUUAUUUUUGUCAUUGGAGUUCAUGAAGAUUUAAUCAUCAGCCUUCUAAUUUUCCAGAAAAAAAAAUGUUGAUUUAUUGAACUGGCUGCAGAAGAAGAAGCAGCAGAGGAAGAAGAGUAAGAAGAAGAUGAUCAAUCUGACGUUGUAGGUUAAGAGUAGCGAACAAAACACAUUCAUAAUUAGAAGAGAAAAGGACUUUCCUUGUUCAUUCCAGUUUAUAAUAAAAAGCCCCUCGCCAAAGUGUCUUAGAAAAUAAUGCAUUCAGACUGAGUCGAAUUACCGCCUAGCAGAUUCUAUUUAUCUGUAGCUUAAAAAGCAGCUGCGUUUUUGUAAAAAGCAAUGAAUGUGGCAGUCCUACUUAAAGGUAGAAGAAAAAGAACACCCCUUGUUUUGUAAUAAGGGGAUUUUCAAUUUAAAAGAGAGAGCGAGCCUGUUGUGUGAAGUGCGGUUAUUACAUUCACUGUAUUCUAUCUCACCCACCAGGAGGCUAAUAAUGAAGGGGCCGGGGAAGGAGGCCAGUGCGACGAGGGUUAUCUCAGAGCCUCAGAUGCUGGAUAAGUCGAAGGAGGCAGACUCGCUUUUGGAGGACAUUCAGAAAGGCCAGAGUGAUUAUUUGGAAGAGAAAAGCCUGCCUAUUCUUUUCCAAGGUGCGUGAAUAUUCCCCUGGCCUGCCCGUCCACUGAUGAAUUAUUAGCGACCUGCCUUAGACAAAGGAUGCACUGGGAGCCCCACCACACCUCAAGCCAUGCUUUGAAGGAUCUGCCAAGCUCACUUUUAAUCAUGAGAAAGAAAUUACCCACAUGGAGUCAGCAGAAAAUGAGAAA